This 253-nucleotide ribosomal RNA is filed under the name Segatella copri DSM 18205. RNAcentral describes it as "Prevotella copri DSM 18205 partial 16S ribosomal RNA". It matches the Rfam family "Bacterial small subunit ribosomal RNA", at positions 524 to 776 of the family's 1533-position model. Lineage: Bacteria; Pseudomonadati; Bacteroidota; Bacteroidia; Bacteroidales; Prevotellaceae. The record is from RNAcentral.
UACGGAAGGUCCGGGCGUUAUCCGGAUUUAUUGGGUUUAAAGGGAGCGUAGGCCGGAGAUUAAGCGUGUUGUGAAAUGUAGACGCUCAACGUCUGCACUGCAGCGCGAACUGGUUUCCUUGAGUACGCACAAAGUGGGCGGAAUUCGUGGUGUAGCGGUGAAAUGCUUAGAUAUCACGAAGAACUCCGAUUGCGAAGGCAGCUCACUGGAGCGCAACUGACGCUGAAGCUCGAAGGUGCGGGUAUCGAACAGG